RNAcentral lists this ribosomal RNA (484 nucleotides) under uncultured bacterium. Its description in RNAcentral is "partial 16S ribosomal RNA". It matches the Rfam family "Bacterial small subunit ribosomal RNA", at positions 30 to 507 of the family's 1533-position model. The record is from RNAcentral.
AUUGAACGCUGGCGGCAGGCCUAACACAUGCAAGUCGAGCGGAUGAAGGGAGCUUGCUCCUGGAUUCAGCGGCGGACGGGUGAGUAAUGCCUAGGAAUCUGCCUGGUAGUGGGGGAUAACGUCCGGAAACGGGCGCUAAUACCGCAUACGUCCUGAGGGAGAAAGUGGGGGAUCUUCGGACCUCACGCUCUCAGAUGAGCCUAGGUCGGAUUAGCUAGUUGGUGGGGUAAAGGCCUACCAAGGCGACGAUCCGUAACUGGUCUGAGAGGAUGAUCAGUCAAACUGGAACUGAGAAACGGUCCAGACUCCUACGGGAGGCAGCAGUGGGGAAUAUUGGACAAUGGGCGAAAGCCUGAUCCAGCCAUGCCGAGUGUGUGAAGAAGGUCUUCGGAUUGUAAAGCACUUUAAGUUGGGAGGAAGGGCAGUAAGUUAAUACCUUGCUGUUUUGACGUUACCAACAGAAUAAGCACCGGCUAACUUCGUG